GAUGAGUAGCCCGGUCUGAGAGAUGAUCGGCCACACUGGGACUGGAACACGGCCCAGACUCUACGGGAGGCAGCAGUGGGGAAUAUUGCGCAAUGGGCGAAAGCCUGACGCAGCGACGCGCGUGAGGGAUGAAGGUUCUCGGAUCGUAAACCUCUGUCAGAAGGGAAGAAAAACCAGAGGAGUAACUGCCUUUGGCUGACGGUACCUUCAAAGGAAGCACCGGCUAACUCCGUGCCAGCAGCCGCGGUAAUACGGAGGGUGCAAGCGUUAAUCGGAAUCACUGGGCGUAAAGCGCACGUAGGCGGCUUUGUAAGUCAGCGGUGCAAGCCCUUCGCUCAACGAAGGAAUUGCCGUUGAUACUGCUUAGCUUGAGUUUGUGAGAGGAUAGUGGAAUUCCAGGUGUAGGAGUGAAAUCCGUAGAGAUCUGGAGGAACAUCAGUGGCGAAGGCGACUAUCUGGCACAAUACUGACGCUGAGGUGCGAAAGCGUGGGGAUCAAACAGGAUUAGAUACCCUGGUAGUCCACGCUGUAAACGAUGGAUACUAGGUGCUGGAGGCUUGACUUUCAGUGCCGUAGCUAACGCGUUAAGUAUCCCGCCU
Molecule: ribosomal RNA, 599 nt
Filed under: Desulfovibrio sp. STP5
Lineage: Bacteria; Pseudomonadati; Thermodesulfobacteriota; Desulfovibrionia; Desulfovibrionales; Desulfovibrionaceae
Description: bacterial SSU rRNA
Rfam family: Bacterial small subunit ribosomal RNA
Source: RNAcentral